RNAcentral lists this ribosomal RNA (667 nucleotides) under Salmonella enterica. Its description in RNAcentral is "partial 23S ribosomal RNA". It matches the Rfam family "Bacterial large subunit ribosomal RNA", at positions 2136 to 2802 of the family's 2925-position model. RNAcentral also lists the same sequence under 1 other name. The record is from RNAcentral. Lineage: Bacteria; Pseudomonadati; Pseudomonadota; Gammaproteobacteria; Enterobacterales; Enterobacteriaceae.
GUGUAGGAUAGGUGGGAGGCUUUGAAGUGUGGACGCCAGUCUGCAUGGAGCCGACCUUGAAAUACCACCCUUUAAUGUUUGAUGUUCUAACGUGGACCCGUUACCCGGGUUGCGGACAGUGUCUGGUGGGUAGUUUGACUGGGGCGGUCUCCUCCUAAAGAGUAACGGAGGAGCACGAAGGUUGGCUAAUCCUGGUCGGACAUCAGGAGGUUAGUGCAAUGGCAUAAGCCAGCUUGACUGCGAGCGUGACGGCGCGAGCAGGUGCGAAAGCAGGUCAUAGUGAUCCGGUGGUUCUGAAUGGAAGGGCCAUCGCUCAACGGAUAAAAGGUACUCCGGGGAUAACAGGCUGAUACCGCCCAAGAGUUCAUAUCGACGGCGGUGUUUGGCACCUCGAUGUCGGCUCAUCACAUCCUGGGGCUGAAGUAGGUCCCAAGGGUAUGGCUGUUCGCCAUUUAAAGUGGUACGCGAGCUGGGUUUAGAACGUCGUGAGACAGUUCGGUCCCUAUCUGCCGUGGGCGCUGGAGAACUGAGGGGGGCUGCUCCUAGUACGAGAGGACCGGAGUGGACGCAUCACUGGUGUUCGGGUUGUCAUGCCAAUGGCACUGCCCGGUAGCUAAAUGCGGAAGAGAUAAGUGCUGAAAGCAUCUAAGCACGAAACUUGCCCCGA